AAGAGUUCAAGCCCUAUAUGGGUAGAUCUCCCAUCCUUGAAUAUAUUACUUUGUUGCUUUGGUGGGGCGUACGUUUAUACCACUGGUACUUGCUGGUGAGUACCCACCAGAGAAUUCUAAAUCCUGAAUUAUUUAUUGCUGUCUGAGAAUUAUAUAAUUAUUA
Molecule: unclassified non-coding RNA, 163 nt
Filed under: uncultured Leotiomycetes
Lineage: Eukaryota; Fungi; Ascomycota; Leotiomycetes
Description: sequence contains ITS1
Source: RNAcentral